Molecule: unclassified non-coding RNA, 764 nt
Filed under: Hevea brasiliensis (rubber tree)
Lineage: Eukaryota; Viridiplantae; Streptophyta; Magnoliopsida; Malpighiales; Euphorbiaceae
Source: RNAcentral
AGACCAUAUAAUAAACUUCAUAUUCAAGCAUUAUACAUAAUAGAAUACAGCAGAGAGAAUCGAAUAAGCAAAUAGAAAUACUUCACCACCAGGUCACCACCUUGGAGGAGUUGGGUCCUGAGCAUCUCAGACAUUUCUAGCACCCACAGAGCAAAGUAUACCUAUAAACACCAAGGAAAAAAGAAAGACAAAAAAAAUUGCCCUUGUAGUUGCUAGGCCAACUGCUUGCUUCUUCAAUGUCAUGAAAAAGAUGUUACUUUUAAGUACGUGAAAAAGAGAAGUGUCCAUGAAAGAACUCAAACUAGUUCAAAUAUUUUAUGAGUGCCUAUUUUUUCCCUAAAUGAAGUGAUGAUGAAGUCACUGAAUCACACAUAAUUAUCAAAAGCUAGAAAGUCCCCCUGAAAGAAGAAUCCAAAAAGAGAAGCAAGAAUUGCUUAGGGAAUUUUAGAAUGACAACAAUUAUAUCAAGAUCAAGUCCGUCUCAUCAUAACCAAGUCCUUUAUGUCAUUGUCUUAUUAUCUUCUUUAUGUCAAUGUCUAGGAGACAUCAUACACUGAUAUACCCCAUAUAAAAUAUAAAAGGUCCCAAUUGCAAUUUCAUUUAGAUCUACCCAUUAGCCAAUCCAUUGGUGCAGAUGAAUUAAGCUAAAACUAAAUUAAGAUAAUGAAGUGGACAAGAAGAUUCUUAUGGCCCUCAAGCUACCAAUGUUUGGGAAACAAACAGUUGCAAGCAAAAUGAUCACGUAAACCUUCCUCAAUAUCCUA